GUGGUCAGGUCCGGGGCGGGGUCCGCGGCCCCGGCAUCUCACUUCCGCCGGACGCACGCGGGCAGAUGGAGGCGGCGCGGGGGAGGCCGUGCGGGAGGCUGAGCCGCCGGAGGCCGCGCUCGGGGGACGGGCCUCCCGGCGGCGGCCCCUGGUUUCUCCUGGCGGGCAGCGAGAGCCAACCCUGGGCCUUGCUGCUGCGCAUAGCGAGCUCGGAUCAGGCCCUGGACGGCGACCUGCUGCCCCCCCCUCCCGCUUUCCCCAGUCAGGAACCUGGGCCUGACCCCGAGCAUACCUUGCCUCCUGAGACCUUCACCGUUGGACCCAAGGCCUUUUCUUGGACACCCUUUCCGUCUGCCCUGGGGGGCCUGGGCUGCUUCUCCUGGGCUGGGUGUCACCCAGAGUCCCCCACUGGGUCCCUGAAAGGACACCCUGAGCCUGAUCCUUGCGGGACCCCCAGCGUCAAGGAGCAGCUGUCUGUGGAGGGGCCCCCAGCCCUGCAGAGCUGCCCAAUGUGCCAGAAGGAGUUCAGCCCCGGGUGAGUCCCCCACCCAUCCUGCAGGCCCAGGGACCCGAUCCCUUUGUGAAAAACCACACCUGCUGAGAGGCUGAGAGGAGGCCUGGGCCGCUAUCACCUUUCAAAGCCACAUGCCACAGAUGGAAGGCUGGCCCAGCUGGACGUGGACAGCCACCUCGCACAGUGCUUGGCAGAAAGCACGGAUGAUGUGGCAUGGUAAACCACCGGUGUCCAGGGCAGAGCUGCUGAAGGGGGGUCCUGGCCUGGCUGUCCUCACUGACCUUCCUCUCUGCUCCUGAACAUGCACAUUAAAACUGGGGUGUGGGCUCUCCCGCCUGGCGUGCUAAA
RNA transcript from Marmota monax (woodchuck), 862 nucleotides. It is a transcript of the gene named FA core complex associated protein 20, with no coding region annotated. The transcript is spliced from 4 exons. The record is from RefSeq and is a predicted model, not a curated record. NCBI's taxonomy places the organism in Eukaryota, Metazoa, Chordata, Mammalia, Rodentia, Sciuridae.